AGAGUUUGAUCCUGGCUCAGAUUGAACGCUGGCGGCAUGCCUUACACAUGCAAGUCGAACGGCAGCAUGAUCUAGCUUGCUAGAUUGAUGGCGAGUGGCGAACGGGUGAGUAAUACAUCGGAACGUGCCCUGUAGUGGGGGAUAACUAGUCGAAAGAUUAGCUAAUACCGCAUACGACCUGAGGGUGAAAGUGGGGGACCGCAAGGCCUCAUGCUAUAGGAGCGGCCGAUGUCUGAUUAGCUAGUUGGUGGGGUAAAGGCCCACCAAGGCGACGAUCAGUAGCUGGUCUGAGAGGACGAUCAGCCACACUGGGACUGAGACACGGCCCAGACUCCUACGGGAGGCAGCAGUGGGGAAUUUUGGACAAUGGGGGCAACCCUGAUCCAGCAAUGCCGCGUGUGUGAAGAAGGCCUUCGGGUUGUAAAGCACUUUUGUCCGGAAAGAAAUCGCACUUACUAAUAUUAGGUGUGGAUGACGGUACCGGAAGAAUAAGGACCGGCUAACUACGUGCCAGCAGCCGCGGUAAUACGUAGGGUCCAAGCGUUAAUCGGAAUUACUGGGCGUAAAGCGUGCGCAGGCGGUUGUGCAAGACCGAUGUGAAAUCCCCGGGCUUAACCUGGGAAUUGCAUUGGUGACUGCACGGCUAGAGUGUGUCAGAGGGGGGUAGAAUUCCACGUGUAGCAGUGAAAUGCGUAGAGAUGUGGAGGAAUACCGAUGGCGAAGGCAGCCCCCUGGGAUAACACUGACGCUCAUGCACGAAAGCGUGGGGAGCAAACAGGAUUAGAUACCCUGGUAGUCC
RNAcentral lists this ribosomal RNA (799 nucleotides) under uncultured bacterium. RNAcentral describes it as "bacterial SSU rRNA". It matches the Rfam family "Bacterial small subunit ribosomal RNA", at positions 8 to 796 of the family's 1533-position model. The record is from RNAcentral.